RNAcentral lists this ribosomal RNA (253 nucleotides) under uncultured bacterium. RNAcentral's name for it is "partial 16S ribosomal RNA". It matches the Rfam family "Bacterial small subunit ribosomal RNA", at positions 524 to 776 of the family's 1533-position model. The record is from RNAcentral.
UACGGAGGGUGCAAGCGUUAUCCGGAUUUACUGGGUUUAAAGGGUGCGUAGGAGGGCAGGUAAGUCAGUGGUGAAAUCUCCAAGCUUAACUUGGAAACUGCCGUUGAUACUAUCUGUCUUGAAUAUUGUGGAGGUGAGCGGAAUAUGUCAUGUAGCGGUGAAAUGCUUAGAUAUGACAUAGAACACCAAUUGCGAAGGCAGCUCACUACUCAAUCAUUGACUCUGAGGCACGAAAGCGUGGGGAUCAAACAGG